GGACUCUUGCCCCUUGAGCUGCUGGGGAUCCUCUGCUCCUCAACCAGGGCUGGAGGCCAAAAGGAGGCCUGGAGGAGCAAGGUCAGAGCUGCCACGAGUGGGCAGCCUUGUUUUCCUGCCUCAGACAUGA
Molecule: non-coding RNA, 130 nt
Organism: Fukomys damarensis (Damara mole-rat)
Lineage: Eukaryota; Metazoa; Chordata; Mammalia; Rodentia; Bathyergidae
Source: Ensembl